CUCUCGGUAGCUUAGUUGGUAAAGCAUUAGACUGUAACUGAGUUAUUGUUUGCAAACAAACAAUUGGAAUGCGAUCUAAGGAUCGGGUGUUCGACUCACUCCCGGGAGA
This is a transfer RNA of Candida albicans SC5314, 109 nucleotides long. It matches the Rfam family "tRNA". From Rfam's summary of the family: Transfer RNA (tRNA) molecules are approximately 80 nucleotides in length. Their secondary structure includes four short double-helical elements and three loops (D, anti-codon, and T loops). NCBI's taxonomy places the organism in Eukaryota, Fungi, Ascomycota, Pichiomycetes, Serinales, Debaryomycetaceae. The record is from Rfam.